GCCCCGGUAAACGGCGGCCGUAACUAUAACGGUCCUAAGGUAGCGAAAUUCCUUGUCGGGUAAGUUCCGACCUGCACGAAUGGCGUAAUGAUGGCCAGGCUGUCUCCACCCGAGACUCAGUGAAAUUGAACUCGCUGUGAAGAUGCAGUGUACCCGCGGCAAGACGGAAAGACCCCGUGAACCUUUACUAUAGCUUGACACUGAACAUUGAGCCUUGAUGUGUAGGAUAGGUGGGAGGCUUUGAAGUGUGGACGCCAGUCUGCAUGGAGCCGACCUUGAAAUACCACCCUUUAAUGUUUGAUGUUCUAACGUUGGCCCGUAAUCCGGGUUGCGGACAGUGUCUGGUGGGUAGUUUGACUGGGGCGGUCUCCUCCUAAAGAGUAACGGAGGAGCACGAAGGUUGGCUAAUCCUGGUCGGACAUCAGGAGGUUAGUGCAAUGGCAUAAGCCAGCUUGACUGCGAGCGUGACGGCGCGAGCAGGUGCGAAAGCAGGUCAUAGUGAUCCGGUGGUUCUGAAUGGAAGGGCCAUCGCUCAACGGAUAAAAGGUACUCCGGGGAUAACAGGCUGAUACCGCCCAAGAGUUCAUAUCGACGGCGGUGUUUGGCACCUCGAUGUCGGCUCAUCACAUCCUGGGGCUGAAGUAGGUCCCAAGGGUAUGGCUGUUCGCCAUUUAAAGUGGUACGCGAGCUGGGUUUAGAACGUCGUGAGACAGUUCGGUCCCUAUCUGCCGUGGGCGCUGGAGAACUGAGGGGGGCUGCUCCUAGUACGAGAGGACCGGAGUGGACGCAUCACUGGUGUUCGGGUUGUCAUGCCAAUGGCACUGCCCGGUAGCUAAAUGCGGAAGAGAUAAGUGCUGAAAGCAUCUAAGCACGAAACUUGCCCCGAGAUGAGUUCUCCCUGACUCCUUGAGGGUCCUGAAGGAACGUUGAA
This 931-nucleotide ribosomal RNA is filed under the name Escherichia coli. RNAcentral describes it as "partial 23S ribosomal RNA". It matches the Rfam family "Bacterial large subunit ribosomal RNA", at positions 1917 to 2842 of the family's 2925-position model. The record is from RNAcentral. Lineage: Bacteria; Pseudomonadati; Pseudomonadota; Gammaproteobacteria; Enterobacterales; Enterobacteriaceae.